This 225-nucleotide ribosomal RNA is filed under the name uncultured bacterium. RNAcentral describes it as "partial 16S ribosomal RNA". It matches the Rfam family "Bacterial small subunit ribosomal RNA", at positions 524 to 746 of the family's 1533-position model. The record is from RNAcentral.
UACGUAGGGUGCGAGCGUUGUCCGGAUUUAUUGGGCGUAAAGGGCUCGUAGGCGGCGUGUCGCGUCGGGAGUGAAAGCCCGUUGCUUAACGGCGGGUUGGCUUUCGGUACGGGCAUGCUGGAGUGCGGCAGGGGAGACUGGAAUUCCUGGUGUAGCGGUGGAAUGCGCAGAUAUCAGGAGGAACACCGGUGGCGAAGGCGGGUCUCCUGGGCCGUAACUGGACGC